AGCCUUCUAUAUCCGUGCCGAUGUUUCGUUACACAUCAAACCACAAGGGCUGAUGAGACUUCCAAGAUAAGUGGAGCG
This 78-nucleotide microRNA precursor is filed under the name Schistosoma margrebowiei. RNAcentral's name for it is "mir-3492 microRNA precursor family". It matches the Rfam family "mir-3492 microRNA precursor family". Lineage: Eukaryota; Metazoa; Platyhelminthes; Trematoda; Strigeidida; Schistosomatidae. The record is from Rfam by way of RNAcentral.